Molecule: non-coding RNA, 456 nt
Organism: Microcebus murinus (gray mouse lemur)
Lineage: Eukaryota; Metazoa; Chordata; Mammalia; Primates; Cheirogaleidae
Source: RefSeq, a predicted model, not a curated record
AGAGCCCCGCCCCUGUCGGGCUAGACUUCUCCCCCAGUUUGCAGAACCCUGUCCUUAUUGGUCCUGAUCCCCGCCACUCAGAGCCCCCUUCCCAUACUGGUUCCGAUCAGGGCCCAGCCGCUUAGAGGUGUGCUUCCGCAGGUUCUGAGCUACUCUACUUGCUCAUAGAGCACAGUCCUCAGCCUUGAAGUCCAGCCCUGCACACCCGAGUUCGCCCACGGUAACCCCGACCCGGCGCCCCGGGCUCUCCUCCUCUGUCCUGCGCCCUCCGGUUUUCAACAGGACUGAAAGAGAAAGGGGUCUGUGAGAACCAGGUUCCCCUGGCUACCUGAGAAGUACAAAUUCUCACCACCACCACCACCUUUCAGCCUCCUCACUCAGUUUUCUUUUUCAAAUGCACACUGAGCAUUUGAACAUGUUAUUGUCUCAAUAAAUGUCUAAUUAUCUGUCAGUUUA